This 205-nucleotide long non-coding RNA is filed under the name Panax ginseng (ginseng). RNAcentral's name for it is "long non-coding RNA (PGIN_LNC008469)". Lineage: Eukaryota; Viridiplantae; Streptophyta; Magnoliopsida; Apiales; Araliaceae. The record is from RNAcentral.
UGGUGGGAUGAAAAGUUGAGAGCGUUUUCUCUAACAUUUGGGAUUCAGAAACUGGAUCUCCGCACAAAGCCAAAGUAGAGGUUAUUCUAUAAACAUUGGAACUAUAUUCCGUAAUUGAUUUGUAAUCUUGUAGCCUCAAAUUCAGCCACUCAAAUUUGGCAUUAGGGAGAACAACCAAUUUUUGGUGGUCAAAUCUUUCCUUCAG